AUAUAUAUAUAUAUAUAUAUAUAUAUAUAUAUAUAUAUAUAUAUAUAUAUAUAUAUAUAUAUAUACUUUUCCUUAAAAUAAAGAUUCUUCUAAUAAUACAAAAGGCUAAAACUUACACAAACAGAAUCUUCACUCUCAGCACAAAAGGGUCACACAGUUUAUGGGUGAAGCUUAUUUCAUUCUUCUAGUUUUUUUAUAAGUGUUUGAGUAAAUUGAUCAUAACAAGGUCUCUAAUGUAUAUUUUUCCUUGUUCCUGUUUAGUAUGAUUAAAAACUCUUGAUUAUUUUUUACUUUUGCAGAAAGAGACGGAUUAAUAGACCUAAGUCAUUAUUUGCUGAAGAUGUGAAUGCAAUCUUCAGACAAGCAAAAGAAGAACAAGAAAUCAUUCAUGUCUUCACCAAACAGCUCACACAUUUGUCUUGGUUUAAUUUACAGGUAUAUCUACAAUCCUCCCCAAUUCUACAAUUUAAUUUUCAUUUUAUUUUAUAUGAAGUACAAUUUAUUUUCAUUUAUGCUAAAGUCUUUAAGCUAUGCAUUUUGAUAUCAGAGUCACUUGAUAUACUGUCCAGGCUUGGCAUUCUAUUGCAUAUGAUUUCUUGUAUUGAUUUUCAAUGGAGUAUUUCAAACUUAAUGUUAAGCAAAAUUGAUGGAAUACUGCCUACGGGUCCAAUGGAGAAAUAAAGGAUGUUCGGAAGUAUUGGGCUUUAUUUUUUUUAAUCAUUUGUAAAUGAUUAGAUAUUUUGAUAUUAUAUUUUAAGUUUAUGAACUAUUUUAUACUUAACGAUGUUAAGUAACUAUGUUAUGUAAAUAUAUUUAAAAAUUUUGUUAGGUAAAUAUUAUAUUUUGAUGUGUUAAUAGAAACAAUAUUGAUUAUUUCGCUUAUUAUUGAUUAUUUAGACUAGAUUAUGGAAUUGAAUUUUAAGUAGGUCUGGAUAUAGAUAGUAGUACAAACAAAUCAAACAUUUAAAAAAAUGUCACUUUUUACACCAGUUCAAGUCAUAUUAAGUAUAAAAAGGUUUGUUUUUUCACACCGAUUAUAAUAGCAUCAGGUAUAAAAGCGAACUUCUUUUAUACUUGUUCUGAUUCCAGCAAGUAUAAAAGUGAAUUUUGUUUUUCAAGAAGAGACGACUUUUUUAUACCUGUUCCCAAAAUAUCAAGUGUAAAUAUCAAAAUUUUAUACUUGUUAUAGACAAAAUUGAUGUAAAAAGUUAAAUUUUUUAUGUCAGUUCUAGAAUCAGUGUAAAAAAUGAAAACUUUUUAUACCCUUUACUUCUAUAUCAACACAAAAAUCAGUAUAAAAAACUUUUUUUAACCGUUAUAAAAAACCUUUUUUGAGAUAGUGUUCCACGAACACCACUAUAGUGCUUUUUCUUCUUCGUCGUUGCAUUGCAUCUUGUCGCUGUCUUCUUCUCUCGCGCCUCUAUAUCAGAGCUCAUAAAAGCAAACUGUAUCAGAGCAAGUGAUUAAUGAUUUUAUCAAUAUAUCAGAGCAAAUAAAAGAGUAUAUCUCAGAAAACAUAUCAAAAUCAAGCAAUCAAGUAUCAAGCAAAUAAGUAAUCAAACUUUCUCCCCCUUUGUGCAUUAGCAAAAAAGGCAUGCUCUUUGAUAAUGAUGUGUUGAAAAACAAUUUUAUAGAGAUGCAUCAAUAUAAACAGAUUAAUCAAUUAAUAAUGCUCCUCCUGUCACAGAUAUUCACAUGAUAAAGAAAAUCUCCCCCUAAAGUGUAGACAUGUGAAAAAUCUAGAUUAUCAUGUAAUGCUCUCCGUAUCAUUAUGCAUGUUUUAAAUUCAAAACCUAGAUGCAUAAUGUAGUUGACACAAAUAUCUGAUCAUAUAAAAGCAUGUAUCAGAAUUGUAUCAGAACCAGAAUUGCAAACAAUUCAAUCAAACAUAGAUACAAUCAUCAACAAUCUCACAAUAUAAUCUCACAAAUAUAUUAAUCAAUUAAAGAUCAGAGAUAUAUUGAAAGCAAACAAUAAGAUAUAGAAUCAGUAAACCAAAAUAACCAAAUUCAAGCAAAUGGAAUUCUUAACCCUGUUAAACCAAUAGUCGAUUAUUCCUCAUUUGCAAUCAAUUUUGCAUUGCUUCCCAUGAGUAGUAUCUCCAGUAGUAAGUCCAGAGACAAUGUCUCCUGCAAAACCUUUCAAGAUCUUUUGAAGAUCAAGAAAUUUAGAAUCACAGUAAUGCAAGAAAUUAUGCAGUUAAGAAGUGAGUAUGCAAAAGAAUUAAUGUAACAGUAAACAUGUGCAUAAUCAACUUCAACAAUGACAUAGUCAACUUUAGAUCAUUUUAUACUACUAUCAUUUAGAAUUCCCAAUUCAUUUCGAAUAGUAAAAAAUCUUUCCCUGUUCAAUGGUUUUGUAAAAAUAUCAGCCCAU
This 2376-nucleotide long non-coding RNA is filed under the name Vigna radiata. Its description in RNAcentral is "long non-coding RNA (VRAD_LNC011695)". The record is from RNAcentral. Lineage: Eukaryota; Viridiplantae; Streptophyta; Magnoliopsida; Fabales; Fabaceae.